This 393-nucleotide ribosomal RNA is filed under the name uncultured bacterium. RNAcentral describes it as "partial 16S ribosomal RNA". It matches the Rfam family "Bacterial small subunit ribosomal RNA", at positions 338 to 729 of the family's 1533-position model. The record is from RNAcentral.
CCUACGGGAGGCUGCAGUGAGGAAUAUUGGUCAAUGGCCGGAAGGCUGAACCAGCCAAGCCGCGUGAAGGACGAAGGUGCCAAGCGUUGUAAACUUCUUUUGUCAAGGGACAAAAUCAGGCUCGAGAGCCUGACCGAGGGUACUUGAAGAAAAAGCAUCGGCUAACUCCGUGCCAGCAGCCGCGGUAAUACGGAGGAUGCGAGCGUUAUCCGGAUUUAUUGGGUUUAAAGGGUGCGUAGUCGGGCUGUUAAGUCAGCGGUAAAAGCCCGGGGCUCAACCCCGGCGAGCCGUUGAAACUGGCUGCCUUGAGAUGUCGUGAGGUAUGCGGAAUGCGUAGUGUAGCGGUGAAAUGCUUAGAUAUUGCGCAGAACUCCGAUUGCGAAGGCAGCAUAC